CAUCAUUGAUUUUUUGCCGUCUCGACGGCAGAGAGUGCACACUCACGCCUCCCUCGGGGGGCUACUUCCAAAACCCAUCAUAGUUUGUGCAUGUGUAUACUUUUAUAUAACUUAUAAAGUACAACUUUCAACAACGGAUCUCUUGGCUCUCGCAUCGAUGAAGAACGCGGCGAAAUGCGAUAAGUAAUGUGAAUUGCAGAUUUCAGUGAAUCAUCGAAUCUUUGAACGCACCUUGCGCUCCUCGGCCUUCCGAGGAGCAUGCCUGUUUGAGUGCCCAGAAAUUCACUCGAUGUAACAACUUGUUUGUUGCAUCGGAGCGUGGGGGUCUUUGCCUCGCCAUCACUGGCGAGGCUCCCUUCAAAUACGUUAGCUGGCCCUUUGUAGGUCUGCCCAAUGGCUUGAUAUUAAAACGUCGAUGCCGCCGGGUGACUCUGCUUUUAAAGGUUGCUUACAGCCGUCCUCUUUCUGGACAACAUCUUCUGAGCUCGGGCCUCAAAUCAGGUAGGAUUACCC
Molecule: ribosomal RNA, 513 nt
Filed under: uncultured Basidiomycota
Lineage: Eukaryota; Fungi; Basidiomycota
Description: eukaryotic LSU rRNA
Rfam family: 5.8S ribosomal RNA (bases 123-276)
Source: RNAcentral